AACGAACGCUGGCGGCAUGCCUAACACAUGCAAGUCGAACGAGACCUUCGGGUCUAGUGGCGCACGGGUGCGUAACGCGUGGGAACCUGCCCUUCGGUUGGGAAUAAUUCCCCGAAAGGGGUGCUAAUACCGGAUAAUGUUUUCGAACCAAAGAUUUAUCGCCUUUGGAUGGGCCCGCGUUGGAUUAGCUAGUUGGUAGGGUAAAAGCCUACCAAGGCGACGAUCCAUAGCUGGUCUGAGAGGAUGAUCAGCCACACUGGGACUGAGACACGGCCCAGACUCCUACGGGAGGCAGCAGUGGGGAAUAUUGGACAAUGGGCGAAAGCCUGAUCCAGCAAUGCCGCGUGAGUGAUGAAGGCCUUAGGGUUGUAAAGCUCUUUUACCCGGGAUGAUAAUGACAGUACCGGGAGAAUAAGCUCCGGCUAACUCCGUG
This 433-nucleotide ribosomal RNA is filed under the name uncultured bacterium. RNAcentral's name for it is "partial 16S ribosomal RNA". It matches the Rfam family "Bacterial small subunit ribosomal RNA", at positions 29 to 507 of the family's 1533-position model. The record is from RNAcentral.